AGGACGACGCUGGCGGCGUGCCUAACACAUGCAAGUCGAACGGGUGAUUCCUUCGGGGAUCACUUAGUGGCGGACGGGUGAGUAACGCGUAGGCAACCUGCCCUUUGCAGAGGGAUAGCCAUUGGAAACGAUGAUUAAAACCUCAUAAUGCCAGACUGAGACAUCUCUAACUGGCCAAAGAUUUAUCGGCAAAGGAUGGGCCUGCGUCUGAUUAGCUAGAUGGCGGGGUAACGGCCCACCAUGGCGACGAUCAGUAGCCGGUCUGAGAGGAUGAACGGCCACAUUGGGACUGAGAUACGGCCCAGACUCCUACGGGAGGCAGCAGUGGGGAAUAUUGGGCAAUGGGGGAAACCCUGACCCAGCAACGCCGCGUGAAGGAAGAAGGCCUUCGGGUUGUAAACUUCUUUUAGUAGGGACGAAUACGUGACGGUACCUACAGAAAAAGCAACGGCUAACUACGUG
This 462-nucleotide ribosomal RNA is filed under the name uncultured bacterium. RNAcentral describes it as "bacterial SSU rRNA". It matches the Rfam family "Bacterial small subunit ribosomal RNA", at positions 33 to 507 of the family's 1533-position model. The record is from RNAcentral.